This is a long non-coding RNA of Cyprinus carpio carpio, 410 nucleotides long. NCBI's taxonomy places the organism in Eukaryota, Metazoa, Chordata, Actinopteri, Cypriniformes, Cyprinidae. The record is from Ensembl.
CGGAAGUAAAAACCUGGUGAAGCACGCGACUCCCACUCCGCUCCUGAAUAUUUCAGUAUUUAGAUUACCUGCAGCAGCAUUGCUGAAGAUUUGUCGGAGCACCUCGGACAGGAGUGUAACGGGGAAAAAAGCAGCUGUAUGGCACCCAUUCACUGCAGAGGAUCCAUUGGUGAAGAAGUGAUGUAAUGCUACAUUUCUCCUACAAAUCUGUUCUGAUGAUGAAAUAACUCAUCUACAUCUAGGAUCACCUGAGGAGUGCAGUAGCUUUGGGUUUCGAGCUGAAAGCAGGGGUUCUGCCGGUCUGCUUGUCUUGGCACAGAUGGAGUUUGUCUUGGAUUGAGGAGUCGACCAUCAGAAAAUCAACGAACCGUACUGCUAACUAUAAGUAAUGUUCAUUUCCAUAAUCACAC